Cydia splendana is the source of this 555-nucleotide long non-coding RNA. RefSeq lists it as uncharacterized. The transcript has 2 exons. Lineage: Eukaryota; Metazoa; Arthropoda; Insecta; Lepidoptera; Tortricidae. The record is from RefSeq and is a predicted model, not a curated record.
CCUCUUGUGCGCGUGUUUGGGUUUCGAGUGAACAGGUCGCUUAGUUCUGGACAGUCGUAAUAUCCAUGCAUGAUUUUGAACGUCUCGAUCAAGUCGCCACGUUCCCGCCUUUUUUGCAGUGUUGUCAAGCCCAGCUUGACUAAUCUUUCCUCGUACGAAAGUGACUUUAGCUGUGCGGGAAUUUUGGUAAAUCUACGCUGUACUCGCUCGAUCAUGUCAAUAUCUUUUUUGAAGUAUGGAUUCCAUAUCUGAAAGCCAUAUUCCAGAAUUGGUCUUAUAUAGGUCUUGUAUAUCUUUAGCAUUGUUUCGGUGGUGAAAAUACGAAAAGCUCUUCUGAUUAUGUAGAUUAUGGAGUUAGCCUUUUUUACCAUUUGUGAAAUAUGGGGUUCCCACUUGAGAUCGUCAGACAUAAUGACUCCUAGGUCUUGUUGGGACUGUGCAUUUUGAUUCGUUGAGGUUUAUAAGCCAGUUUAGGCACCAGUCCCUAAUUCGGUUCAGAUCUGACUGUAGUUUCCUAUGGUCUAUCAUAGGGUUUACAAACAGCUUGGAGUCAUC